RNAcentral lists this ribosomal RNA (1434 nucleotides) under uncultured bacterium. RNAcentral's name for it is "16S ribosomal RNA". It matches the Rfam family "Bacterial small subunit ribosomal RNA". The record is from RNAcentral.
AGAGUUUGAUCCUGGCUCAGGACGAACGCUGGCGGCAUGCCUAACACAUGCAAGUCGAACGGAGUUAUUAUUCAGAAGUUCUUCGGGAUGGAAGGAUAAGAACUUAGUGGCGGACGGGUGAGUAACGCGUGGGUAACCUGCCCUUUUGUGGGGAACAACUUCGAGAAAUCGGAGCUAAUACCGCAUAAUAAUAGAGGAUCGCAUGAUUCUUUAAGGAAAGAUGGCCUCUGAAGAUGCUAUCGCAAAAGGAUGGACCCGCGUCUGAUUAGCUAGUUGGAAGGGUAACGGCCUACCAAGGCAACGAUCAGUAGCCGGCCUGAGAGGGUGAACGGCCACAUUGGGACUGAGACACGGCCCAAACUCCUACGGGAGGCAGCAGUGGGGAAUCUUCCGCAAUGGGCGAAAGCCUGACGGAGCAAUGCCGCGUGAGUGAAGAAGGCCUUCGGGUUGUAAAACUCUGUCCUUAUCGAAGAGAGGUAGGUAUGUGAAUAAUGUACCUAUAGGACGGUAGAUAAGGAGGAAGCCCCGGCUAACUACGUGCCAGCAGCCGCGGUAAUACGUAGGGGGCGAGCGUUGUCCGGAAUCACUGGGCGUAAAGGGCGCGUAGGCGGUUUAAUAAGUCAGUGGUGAAAACUGAGGGCUCAACCCUCAGCCUGCCACUGAUACUGUUAGACUUGAGUAUGGAAGAGGAGAAUGGAAUUCCUAGUGUAGCGGUGAAAUGCGUAGAUAUUAGGAGGAACACCAGUGGCGAAGGCGAUUCUCUGGGCCAAGACUGACGCUGAGGCGCGAAAGCGUGGGGAGCAAACAGGAUUAGAUACCCUGGUAGUCCACGCCGUAAACGAUGGAUACUAGGUGUUAGUAGUUUCGAUGCUACUAGUGCCGGAGUAAACACAAUAAGUAUCCCGCCUGGGGAGUACGGUCGCAAGACUGAAACUCAAAGGAAUUGACGGGGGCCCGCACAAGCGGUGGAGCAUGUGGUUUAAUUCGACGCAACGCGAAGAACCAUACCAAGACUUGACAUCCUCCUGACAAGAUAUGUAAUGUAUCUCUUUUCUUCGGAGACAGGAGAGACAGGUGGUGCAUGGUUGUCGUCAGCUCGUGUCGUGAGAUGUUGGGUUAAGUCCCGCAACGAGCGCAACCCUUAUUUCUAGUUGCCAGCAGUAAGAUGGGGACUCUAGAGAGACUGCCAGUGACAAACUGGAGGAAGGUGGGGAUGACGUCAAAUCAUCAUGCCCCUUAUGUCUUGGGCUACACACGUGCUACAAUGGUCAGAACAGAGGGAAGCGAAGCCGCGAGGUGGAGCAAAUCCCAGAAAACUGAUCUCAGUUCGGAUUGCAGGCUGCAACCCGCCUGCAUGAAGUCGGAAUCGCUAGUAAUCGCGGGUCAGCAUACCGCGGUGAAUACGUUCCCGGGCCUUGCACACACCGCCCGUCA